UAAAAUAGCCCCAGAGCCAACCCAUCUCUGUUGCAAUAGAGUGGGAUAAUUUUUAAGUAGAGGUGAUAAACCUAUCGAACUUAGAGAUAGCUGGUUUUUUAAGAAAAGAUUUUUAGUUCAGCCCUGAGUCUUCUAUUACACAAGAAUUAAACUAAACUCAGGAGUUAUUCAAAUAAGGCACAGCUUAUUUGAAACAGGAUACAACCUAGAAAAAAGGGUAAGACAAAUUUAAUCUCUGACAAGUGGGCCUGAAAGCAGCCACCUUUUAAAAAGCGUCAAAGCUUAACAUUAAUAAUUUUCUUAAUAUCUAAAUUAAUUUCUAACCCUUAUUUACUAUUAAAAAACUCCAUAAAAUUAUGGAAGUUAUUAUGCUAGAACAAGUAACAAGAAAAAGACUUUCUCCAAAAUGUAAGCUUAAGCCACAACAGACAAACUGAUGGCAAUUAACGUUUAUGAGUCACUUGUAGUAACACCAACAGGAAAACUCUACAUGAGUUCUAACGUCA
Molecule: ribosomal RNA, 506 nt
Filed under: Boophis elenae
Lineage: Eukaryota; Metazoa; Chordata; Amphibia; Anura; Mantellidae
Description: partial 16S ribosomal RNA
Rfam family: Bacterial large subunit ribosomal RNA (bases 1-375)
Source: RNAcentral